This is a long non-coding RNA of Hippocampus zosterae (dwarf seahorse), 1357 nucleotides long. RefSeq lists it as uncharacterized. Lineage: Eukaryota; Metazoa; Chordata; Actinopteri; Syngnathiformes; Syngnathidae. The transcript is spliced from 2 exons. The record is from RefSeq and is a predicted model, not a curated record.
AACAAUAUAUGUUCCCACAAACUAUCACAAUAAAUAAGUUUGCUUGUUUUUUUUCAAACAGGCGGAAUGCUAGCUGGCACUUGCAAUGCAUAUUUGGUGCCACUCGCCAAUCGCUUUCAGGUUCUGGUUGGCGUAACGACUGUUAAUCGAAUCGGUGGUGCAUAAACAAGCAAUGAAAUAGUACAAAAACAGCACAAUAUAGGAUAGCUGUUUAGUUUAUUUCCACAAUGUGUCAUCCAGAAAACAAAUAUAUAUUGCUGAGAGAAAUGCACUCUCUAUGAAGCUCUAAGCCACAGGCAGGAAAGUCCAGGCCAGGGGGCCAUAUCCGGCCCCUGACAUUAUUUUAUAUGGCCUGCAGGAGCAAAUCAUGUGCGUCAACUAUCAUGAUUCUUGCCAAAAUCUGGACCGAAAUGUCAAACUGUCAUGGGUAAUAAAUAACGUUGAGAUUUUGCACCGGCCCGCCGAGGGAACCCUUAACUCCGGAAUGGCCCUCGACAAAAAAUGAGCUUGACAGCCCUGCUCUAAGCCAAGGGUCUUCAAACCUGUUCCUCAAAGGCCACUGGCCUGCCUGUUUUCCAUCUUUCCUUGCUGCAACACAUGAAUCAAGUGAUCAGGGUCAUUCUCCGGCUUCUGCAGACCUUGCCGAUUAUCUGAUCAUUUGAAUCUGGCAUAUUGCAACAGGGAGAGAUGCAAAAUAGGCAGGUCAGCGGACGUCGAGAAACACCUUUGAUGACCCCCGCCCUAAGAUAUUAAACAGCGGCCCAGCACACCACCAGCUAACAAUUUUUCACAUUGCACUGAUAUAAUCAAGUCCUUUUAUGGAAAGCUUGCAGUGUAAGGUAAUCGCCUCACAGUUUACAAGGAAGAGACGUUCAAAUAAUAAUUGAAAAUCUAGCAACCUAACAAUUUAGAUGGGUUUCAAAAGCCCUUUUCCACCCUUGUGUUUGUGAGUGAGUAAGCGUCAAUUUGGCUUGCACAACGGCGAGCCAGGACAAGUGGCUGUGUUAUUACUUUGGCUAAUGCUAAAUGUUAUCUUGGUAUCUUGGGCGACAGUUCAACAACUAUAAACAAGUCAUUCCACGCACCAUUAACCAACCUUUUUUUUUUCUUCUCAGUCACGGCAACUAUUGGAAACUGACUGCGUCGAUCACCUCGCACCAGUCCCACAUUGUAACAUUAGAAAUGCGUAGUCUAAAAUGCUCAGAACCUUUGACUGUUUUACAUUACUUUGUGUUUGAAUACAGCGGUAGCCCUACUUAUGAAAUUAAUUGGUUCUGGAAGAAACUUCUGAACUAGAACAUUUUGUAAGUAGAAAUGCGUUUUCCAUGUAAAUGCCGUAAUCCGUUCCAAGCCCCCC